RNAcentral lists this ribosomal RNA (497 nucleotides) under uncultured Streptococcus sp. RNAcentral's name for it is "partial 16S ribosomal RNA". Lineage: Bacteria; Bacillati; Bacillota; Bacilli; Lactobacillales; Streptococcaceae. The record is from RNAcentral.
CACGUAGUUAGCCGUCCCUUUCUGGUAAGAUACCGUCACAGCGUGAACUUUCCACCCUCACACUCGUUCUUCUCUUACAACAGAGCUUUACGAUCCGAAAACCUUCUUCACUCACGCGGCGUUGCUCGGUCAGACUUCCGUCCAUUGCCGAAGAUUCCCUACUGCUGCCUCCCGUAGGAGUCUGGGCCGUGUCUCAGUCCCAGUGUGGCCGAUCACCCUCUCAGGUCGGCUAUGUAUCGUCGCCUUGGUGAGCCGUUACCUCACCAACUAGCUAAUACAACGCAGGUCCAUCUCUUAGUGAUGCAGUUGCACCUUUCAAAUCAACAUCAUGCAAUGUCGACUUUUAUGCGGUAUUAGCUAUCGUUUCCAAUAGUUAUCCCCCGCUAAGAGGCAGGUUACCUACGCGUUACUCACCCGUUCGCAACUCAUCCGGAAAGAGCAAGCUCCUUCCUUCAGCGUUCACUUGCAUGUAUUAGGCACGCCGCCAGCGUUCAUCC